Musa acuminata AAA Group (dessert banana) is the source of this 2217-nucleotide RNA transcript. It is a transcript of the gene named probable serine/threonine-protein kinase At1g54610, with no coding region annotated. The record is from RefSeq and is a predicted model, not a curated record. The transcript has 7 exons. NCBI's taxonomy places the organism in Eukaryota, Viridiplantae, Streptophyta, Magnoliopsida, Zingiberales, Musaceae.
UUAUACGAUGGUGUUAUGAUCGUAAUUAGAUCUGAAAAUGAGUCCUAUUUGUGUUCCCUGCAACUCCCGUUUAAUAGACGAGAUACGUAUCUGAAACUACCGCUUCUCCUUCCCGCUUCCAUUCACAGGAGCUCCGGCGGUGACCGGAACCCGGUCCCCACCCUUCCAGCUUCGAACGAGCCCCUCUGCGGCUGCGCUACCGUCACCUCCCGCCCGCAUGAGGGCCCAGUGACCACCAUGGGAUGCAUCUUCGGCAAGUUCACCUCUGGAGUCGGCCUCUUCCCCGUCGUUGCUCCCCACAUCACCGCCGCCUCCACGUCCAGGCCCCCCGCGGCCUCGGCCUCGGCCGCUGGACACCGGCACCCCCUCCGCGCCCCUCCUCCUCUGGAGCCUGAGCCCCCUCGCCGCCCUUUCUUCAUCCCGAACUCAGCUGCCGCCCCCCCCGCGUGGCCGACCUGGCUCUCUGACGCCGCAGGGGAUGUCCUCGCCGGCUUCACGCCCCGUCGCGCCAAUUCGUUCGCGAUGCUCGAGAAGAUUGGGUCGGGGACGUACAGCAAUGUGUACAAGGCGAGGGACCCGGUGGGGGGGCGGUUGGUGGCGAUGAAGAAGGUGCGGGUGGAGGACGUGAAGGCGGUGGACAGCGUGCUGUUCAUGGUGCGGGAGAUCGCCCUGUUCCGCCGUCUCGACCACCCCAACAUCAUCCGCCUCGAGGACCUGGCGGUGUCCCGUAUCCCCACCACCCCCUCUCUCUACCUGGUCUUCGACUACAUGGAGCACGACCUCGCCGGCCUCACUGCGCUCCCUGGCGUCCGGUUCACUGUGCCCCAGGUGAAAUGCUAUAUGAAGCAAUUACUCUCUGGUCUUGAGCAUUGUCAUAGCCAGGGUGUCUUACACCGUGAUAUAAAGUGUUCAAAUUUGCUACUUAACAAAGAAGGAAUCCUUAAGAUAGCUGAUUUCGGGCUGGCUACUUUUUUUGACCCGAACAACACAAAGCCCAUGACAAGUAAGGUUGUGACCCUGUGGUACCGUCCUCCGGAGCUCUUACUCGGUGCAACUCGGUACGGCGUUGGUGUCGACCUAUGGAGUGCUGAUUUUGGCAGAGCUUCUCACUGGGAAGCCAAUACUUCCUGGACAGACUGAGGUGGAGCAGUUGCAUCGAAUCUUUAAGUUAUGCGGAUCUCCAUCAGAAGAAUACUUUGAGAAACUAAAAUUACAGAAGACGACUUCGUUUGGAUCAUACAAGUGUUCUAUAUCAGAAACAUUUUCAGAUCUUCCACCUUCCUCGGUGUCUCUCAUUGAGAAACUUCUUGCGCUUGACCCACUUGAAAGGGGGUCAGCUACUUCUGCCCUGAACAGUGAGUUCUUCAACAUAGAGCCCUAUGCAUGCGAUCCAUCUGAGUUACCGCAGUACCCUCCAACCAAAGAAAUUGACAGAAAAUUGAGGGAAAACAGAGAUAGAAGGAAACAAAGAACUAAUGCAAAAGAAAACGGUGAAGCCACUAAUAGAAUCCGAUUGCGUAAUCGAAGUUACAGAGGACCAGCAGCUCCAUCAACCAGUAGCAAAGUGCAAGCAGAACUUGAUCGACGGAGAUUGAUGACUAGUGCUAGCGUUGCAAGAGCCGAGAGGUUCCCACCACCACAUCUUGAUGCAGCAAUUGGAUUCUCACUUGAUUCGUCCCAUGCUGAUAGAGAAUUUACCACAGUGGAUGACUUAUUCAUGUCAUCAAAUGUUGUGCCACGGAGAGUAGCAGAUGUAACAAGGGAAGAUGGAGGUAGAAGAGACCAUAACACGGUUCAUGCUGGUGUUAUCGGUGCAAUCAGGCCAUACCUGAUGGGGAAUCUGACAGAUCUCGGAAGGAACAGUAGAGCACACCAGAGCAGAAGGGAAUCAGCUGUUGCUGCUGCGGCGAACUGAUGUGGUUGUGUAGCUGAGAAGUCCAUCUCAUCUUGCCGGGCACAGGCUGCAGUUCUCGUUCAAAUGUCAACUUUAACAAAAUGAGGUAGCCCUUCAUGGUUUUCCACUCGAUGUCUAGCAACAUAUUAACUUCUCGAAAUUGUACUGACAGAGCUAAGGACAUGUACAGCCUUCUGUAUUUGUUUUUGUUAACUUUCUUCUUUUUUUUUCAGAAAAAUAGAAACUUUGUUGCUCCUAAAGAUAAAUGUUUUCUCAUUGUAUUCAUGGAUCGCAUUUGCAAUAAAAAGAGUGAUUCAGAAGCA